AGCAGCCGCGGUAAUUCCAGCUCCAAUAGCGUAUAUUAAAGUUGUUGCAGUUAAAAAGCUCGUAGUUGAAUUUCGGGAUCAAUUUAUUGGUCGUGCUAUUGUACGUACUGGUAUUAUUGAUUCUUACCUUCUGACGAACCAUGAUGUCAUUAAUUUGGUGUCAUGGGAAAUCAGGACUGUUACUUUGAAAAAAUUAGAGUGUUUAAAGCAGGCUCACGCUUGAAUACAUUAGCAUGGAAUAACGAAAUAGGACGUUUGAUUCUAUUUUGCUGGUUUCUAGGAUCGACGUAAUGAUUAAUAGGGAUAGUUGGGGGCAUUAGUAUUCAAUUGUCAGAGGUGAAAUUCUUGGAUUUAUUGAAGACUAACUACUGCGAAAGCAUUUGCCAAGGAUGUUUUCAUUAAUCAAGAACGAAAGUUAAGGGGAUCGAAGACGAUCAGAUACCGUCGUAGUCUUAACCAUAAACCUAUGCCGACUAGGGAUCGGAUGAUGUUAAUUUUUAAUGA
RNAcentral lists this ribosomal RNA (504 nucleotides) under uncultured Glomus. RNAcentral's name for it is "SSU rRNA". It matches the Rfam family "Eukaryotic small subunit ribosomal RNA", at positions 569 to 1074 of the family's 1831-position model. The record is from RNAcentral. Lineage: Eukaryota; Fungi; Glomeromycota; Glomeromycetes; Glomerales; Glomeraceae.